GACACUCCCUUCUUCACGAAAUGUAAACCAGAACAGAGUAGAGUAGGUUUGGAUGAUACGGCUGAAAAACGCGUCAUGACGUAAACCUUUCAUAUUUUAACAGCACUCUCGCUUUUGUUUUGGUCAUAUUUACCCAGAAUGCCUUGUGUUUGAGUCAACUUCCUACUUUUGUAGCAGUUUCCAGUCAGUUUGACAUCCACAUAUGCAUUUGUACCAGAAUUCACUUAAUCAAAACCAAGACCGAGGUUUUUAGGCAGACCAGAGUUCACUUUUUUGAUUCAAUUGCUUCCCCAAACAAACCUGACUUUCUAGACAAAUGAAGUAGAGUUGGAUUAAAGCGGACUAAACAUGACAGGUGUGAAUGCACCCUAAAUAAUCCAGAUAUCUGGAAAGAUGUAGGAGAUUUUCACCAAAGUUUUGAAUUGGUAAA
Molecule: long non-coding RNA, 430 nt
Organism: Poecilia latipinna (sailfin molly)
Lineage: Eukaryota; Metazoa; Chordata; Actinopteri; Cyprinodontiformes; Poeciliidae
Exons: 2
Source: RefSeq, a predicted model, not a curated record